UACAGGGCGAAUGUCUUGUAAUUGGAAUGAUGGUGACCCAAACCCUCACCAGAGUAGCAAUUGGAGGGCAAGUCUGGUGCCAGCAGCCGCGGUAAUUCCAGCUCCAAUAGCGUAUAUUAAACUUGUUGCAGUUAAAAAGCUCGUAGUUGUAUUUUUGCGUUNACGGUUUGACCAUUUGGUUGGUUAUUUCGUUUUCGCUUUUGGGAAUUUCCCUUUUUACUUUGAGAAAAUUAGAGUGUUUCAAGCAGACUUUUGUCUUGAAUACUUCAGCAUGGAAUAAUAGAGUAGGACUUUGGUUCUAUUUUGUUGGUUAUUGAACCUUAGUAAUGGUUAAUAGGAACG
RNAcentral lists this ribosomal RNA (342 nucleotides) under Babesia canis. RNAcentral describes it as "SSU rRNA". It matches the Rfam family "Eukaryotic small subunit ribosomal RNA", at positions 484 to 880 of the family's 1831-position model. The record is from RNAcentral. Lineage: Eukaryota; Apicomplexa; Aconoidasida; Piroplasmida; Babesiidae.